This 85-nucleotide transfer RNA is filed under the name Betaproteobacteria bacterium RIFCSPLOWO2_12_FULL_62_58. RNAcentral's name for it is "tRNA-Leu". It matches the Rfam family "tRNA". From Rfam's summary of the family: Transfer RNA (tRNA) molecules are approximately 80 nucleotides in length. The record is from RNAcentral. Lineage: Bacteria; Pseudomonadati; Pseudomonadota; Betaproteobacteria.
GGGCGAGUGGUGGAAUGGGUAUACACAAGGCACUUAAAAUGCCUCGGCGCAAGCCAUGCCGGUUCGAAUCCGGUCUCGCCCACCA